This 1018-nucleotide ribosomal RNA is filed under the name Staphylococcus sp. Its description in RNAcentral is "bacterial SSU rRNA". It matches the Rfam family "Bacterial small subunit ribosomal RNA", at positions 442 to 1450 of the family's 1533-position model. The record is from RNAcentral. Lineage: Bacteria; Bacillati; Bacillota; Bacilli; Caryophanales; Staphylococcaceae.
GGGAAGAACAAGUGCGUAGGUAACUAUGCGCACCUUGACGGUACCUAAUCAGAAAGCCACGGCUAACUACGUGCCAGCAGCCGCGGUAAUACGUAGGUGGCAAGCGUUAUCCGGAAUUAUUGGGCGUAAAGCGCGCGUAGGCGGUUUUUUAAGUCUGAUGUGAAAGCCCACGGCUCAACCGUGGAGGGUCAUUGGAAACUGGAAAACUUGAGUGCAGAAGAGGAAAGUGGAAUUCCAUGUGUAGCGGUGAAAUGCGCAGAGAUAUGGAGGAACACCAGUGGCGAAGGCGACUUUCUGGUCUGCAACUGACGCUGAUGUGCGAAAGCGUGGGGAUCAAACAGGAUUAGAUACCCUGGUAGUCCACGCCGUAAACGAUGAGUGCUAAGUGUUAGGGGGUUUCCGCCCCUUAGUGCUGCAGCUAACGCAUUAAGCACUCCGCCUGGGGAGUACGGCCGCAAGGCUGAAACUCAAAGGAAUUGACGGGGACCCGCACAAGCGGUGGAGCAUGUGGUUUAAUUCGAAGCAACGCGAAGAACCUUACCAAAUCUUGACAUCCUUUGACCGCUCUAGAGAUAGAGUCUUCCCCUUCGGGGGACAAAGUGACAGGUGGUGCAUGGUUGUCGUCAGCUCGUGUCGUGAGAUGUUGGGUUAAGUCCCGCAACGAGCGCAACCCUUAAGCUUAGUUGCCAGCAUUAAGUUGGGCACUCUAAGUUGACUGCCGGUGACAAACCGGAGGAAGGUGGGGAUGACGUCAAAUCAUCAUGCCCCUUAUGAUUUGGGCUACACACGUGCUACAAUGGACAGUACAAAGGGCAGCGAAACCGCGAGGUCAAGCAAAUCCCAUAAAGCUGUUCUCAGUUCGGAUUGUAGUCUGCAACUCGACUACAUGAAGCUGGAAUCGCUAGUAAUCGUAGAUCAGCAUGCUACGGUGAAUACGUUCCCGGGUCUUGUACACACCGCCCGUCACACCACGAGAGUUCGUAACACCCGAAGCCGGUGGAGUAACCUUUUAGGAGCU